CGAUGCAGGUGCCUCUUUCCAUGAAGAGCCGAACAGAAAAACCGGUGAAAACCCGGUACGGUCCCGCCGCUGUGAAGGGGAGCUGCUCCGCAUAAGAUCCACUGGGAUACGCCUGGGAAGGAGCGGAGACGGCAAUGAACCGGAGUCAGAAGAACUGCCUGCAUU
This 165-nucleotide non-coding RNA is filed under the name human gut metagenome. The record is from RNAcentral.